UACAAAUAUUAUUAUUAUUAUUGUAAUUUUUUUGAACAGUGAAACAAACAAGUUCAAAGCACGCCCCCUUUGGCCUCCGGAAAUACCAUAUCCCUAUACUCCUCGUCGACCUGGAUAAGCGCUGCGGCUCCCUCCCUCUCCACUUUUUCCGUCUCAAUCACAAAAGUCGCCAGUAGCAGAGCUGGUUCCGUCGCGCUCACAUUGGCGCUGAUCUUAUGAUGGCAACCGGGCUUUUCUAACCAGGUUCCCCCUUGCUCGAUGACACGCGUCGGCUCAUCGUUCAUUUUGUUCAACACCGUGCCUUGGAUUAGGUAUGCGGAGACGGAAGCGCCACCGUGCCGAUGUGGUGGUGAGGCACUGUUGGGUGGGAAUGUGACCAUCACGCCAAUGAUUGAUUUCCCGGGGGCAUUGGCAAGCUUGUGAUGAUAUAGUGGUUGGAUGAGAGGGAGGGGUCGACUAGUUGUUGGUGAUUGCCGUUUUGUUAGAUGAAUGCUAUUGUCUAGGGGAU
This 508-nucleotide small RNA is filed under the name Histoplasma ohiense. RNAcentral's name for it is "hypothetical lncRNA". The record is from RNAcentral. Lineage: Eukaryota; Fungi; Ascomycota; Eurotiomycetes; Onygenales; Ajellomycetaceae.